This 292-nucleotide ribosomal RNA is filed under the name uncultured bacterium. Its description in RNAcentral is "partial 16S ribosomal RNA". It matches the Rfam family "Bacterial small subunit ribosomal RNA", at positions 505 to 796 of the family's 1533-position model. The record is from RNAcentral.
GUGCCAGCAGCCGCGGUAAUACGGAGGGUGCAAGCGUUAUCCGGAAUCACUGGGUUUAAAGGGUGCGUAGGCGGAAUAAUAAGUCAGGCGUGAAAGGUCACGGCUCAACUGUGGAAUUGCGUUUGAUACUGUUAUUCUUGAAUUAAGAUGGGGUCAGCGGAAUGCGACAUGUAGCGGUGAAAUGCAUAGAUAUGUCGUAGAACACCGAUUGCGAAGGCAGCUGACUGGACUUUGAUUGACGCUGAGGCACGAAAGCGGGGGGAGCGAACAGGAUUAGAUACCCAAGUAGUCC